Long non-coding RNA from Gallus gallus (chicken), 18457 nucleotides. RefSeq lists it as uncharacterized. The transcript has 2 exons. Lineage: Eukaryota; Metazoa; Chordata; Aves; Galliformes; Phasianidae. The record is from RefSeq and is a predicted model, not a curated record.
GGGGGGGGGGAGGUGGGGAGAUGGAGAGGGGUGGGAAGAUUGAAGAUGGUUUUGGAGGCUUAUCUGAAACAAAGGUACACUCAGUGAAGUUGGCAUGGAACUAUCAGGCUCUCUACAGGUCAGAGUGACAUUGUGAAGCCCUUGAAGAAUUCUGCAAACUCCUUAUCCCAACCACGUGCCAUCCAUAGCUCAGUAUUACUUGGAAUAACAGUCACAGGAUCAUCUGAAAGAGAAAAAUCUUUUGCAGUCUCCCAGGGUACAUCCACAGCAGCCAAAUAACUUGCGGCCAUGGCACAGGCCUGAUGACUUUCGCACCGUCACCCAUGGCAGUACACUAUUGUUGGGUCAUCCAUGUAAACACUGCUCUGCUGGGCAACAGUAGGCUGCAGUUCAGGUAGCCCAGGAGCCACUCCCAGCGCCCCAUAUGGUCAUAUUAUAUUGAGAUGGGCAAAGAUUUAACUACCUGUGAGAUGAGCUAUGCCACUGCCCCAGGGCAAGGAACUGGCACUGUUCACAUUUUACUAAUAAGAACACAGGGAGUGUCUUACAGCACUGGGAAAGACAAAGCAAUUCAUCAGUCAUGUGCAUUAAACCAGAGAAGACUUCACAGGUGAAGAGGAGAGUGCCAGAAGGCAUUAAGCAACAGCCAGAAAACUCAGGAGCUGACAGAGACUUGAACAAGAGAACUCAAAAUGUUUGAUCUCAUUUGGACAGACUCCAAAUCCCAGUGCUUACCUGAGCUGAUCAUCACCAUUUUCCCUCAUCCUUAAUAGAAAAUUAAUUGCAAAAGCCAGCUUCAUGGAGUAGUCUGUUAUGAGAAAUCUGGCUGUUUGUGGGCUCAGUUCCAGACAGGCUGAGCGUAGAUGGGGCCCCAAAGUCUGAAGCCUCCAGUCAGCUAGGUCCUUCCAAGCCAUAGAAAAUACUAAUGGAAUGAAAACAUAGAAUGCAAAUUCAGAGACUGCCUACUAGUGGGGUGGGAAGGAAGCACAUCACUGAAAGCUGUUGAAGGCCACUUCUCUCCAGCUUCGAUAGAACAAGAGGGAAUGGCCCACAGUUGCACCAGAGGAGGUUCAAAUUGGAUGUUAAGAAACAUUUAUCCUCCGGAAGAGUGGUCAUGCUCUCGAACAGGCUGCUCAGGGAGGUGGUGCAGUCACUGUCCCGGGAGAUAUUUAAGAAACAUGUGGAUGUAGCACUGAGGGACAUGGUUAGUGGGCAGUACUGGUGGUAGGUGAACAGUUGAACUAGAUGAUCUUAGAGAUCUUUUCUAAUCUUGAUGAUUCUGUGAUUCUGUGAAGUCCAGUCAGCAGGAGAGCAUUUUUAGCCCUGUACAAACUCAAUGAAAAAAAGUUUAUUUUGCAGAAACUGCAGACACUUGGCUUUCUUUAGGUCUUAGAACAAUUGGCAGAGCAAAUGUCGUGUGUGCAGUUGGUAUCUGAGCAGGAAUUACAAGCUUUCUCUUUCAAAUUAUAGCUAUGAGGGUGAUUGUAUGCUAUAAUACAAAACAUGCUGGGUCAGACUUUGUGGCUUCCCAAAUGCAGAAAUAAAGAUACAAACAUGAAGGACAAUGUUCUCCAUUGGAAUUUUUUUUUUCCAGAAACAAAGAUAUGGUACUUCACCAGUGUCCUAAAACCGAUCACAUAGAUGCACAGCAUUUUUAGAACAGGCUGCCCAGGGAGGUGAUAGAGUCACCAUCCCUGGAGGUGUUCAAGAAACAUGUAGAUGUGACACUGAGAGACAUGGGUUAAUGGGCAAUAUUGGCAGUAGGUGGAUGGUUGGACUAGAUGAUCUUAGAGGUCCUUUCCAGCCUUAAUGGUUCUAUGAUUCUGUGAUUCACUUCUGGGUAGCAUUAUCUUAUAUCCCAUUUGAAGUGUUUUGCUGAUUGUUUCUUUUACUGCUUUGCCCCAGAAAAUUAACUUGUAUUUGGGUCCUCAAAGAUGCUUUUGUAAAGCUGCUAACUGUGGAGCUGAGGAAGAUGGGUCACAUGGUACACUUAGCCCUUCACUAAUUGAUACCCAACAGAGUGCACUUGCAUUGGUCUGGCUGUGAAUUCGGCUCUGGCUGGCUGAGCACUAAUGACAGCACCUACUGUAAUAAGCUGAUAUUAGUAGAGAAAGUAAAAUGGCCUGCAAAAAUCCCAAAUGGGUGAUGAAAAUUCUACAUCAUGCAGACCCCUUCCUGUAACUGUGUAGUGGCACAGACCAGCACUCAGCCUACCAGUCUCUAGUUAGUUAGUGAAUACAACACUCUGAAGGCCUUGGCUGUAUCAUGGCAUGCUUCUGAAUACAGUUGGACGUUCUUGGCUGUAGACAAUAAACCUAACCAAAACUUUGUGGUUGAUGGCAAAAAUCAUCACAUGAAAGCAUGUGGUAAGAUGUGCUUUACAUUUGUAUUUCUUCUAUUUGUAAUACGUGAUUUAGAUACCAUUUCUGCUGUUUUUUUUUUCAUAUAUGUAAGUAUCCUUUAUUUUUAUGGGCUUGCUUUUGAUCCAUUUUGUUUUGUAACAUCCACAUAUCAGCAUGUGACUGAUAGGGAGGUCUCCUUGGGCAGCUGUGCUGUCCUAUAGCUUAUGCAGUCCCCAAAAGAAAGCUUCUGCUGAGGGCUCUGUAAAGCUGCAGAGGGGCCAUCUGAAAUGCUUCUUAUGAUGAAUACUGACAAAAAGAGUUGGCUGGAGGAUAUUGCCAGCCCUGUACUUGUUACUGCGACUAGUCAAAGUGAUGGGUUUUCUGCAGUGUUUAAGCCUGAGAUUUCUUUUUGUCUUUAAAAAAUUUAUUUGACCUCUGUAAAAUUUCUGUUAUGAAUUUAGAAGGUACUUACCCUCAAACAUUGUUUUACAUUGUGUUCUUCUGAACCAUAGCAAAACUGUUUUGUUUUCCCAUCCUCAAAAAUGCUGACCCUGAAAAAAUAGAUCACCAUUCUGUUCUGUCUGUGAUCUAAUUAAUUUGCAUUUUUCCCCCACUCCCCUGCUGUUCUUAUACUUUUGCAAUAUCAUUUCCUGCUACACUUCCUGUAGCUUUGGUUAUAGGGAAGGUCAGUGUGUCCAUCCCUUCCAGCAUCCCCCCAGGCAUUGUGGUAGCUGAGAGACUUCAUCCCAGCUUCAGACAAGGAUGCAGCCUGCUUGCUGGUGGCUACAGUACUUGAUUCUACAAUUCUGUGAUUCUACCCUGUGUGAGCAAUACAGUUCAGAUGUUAUGAUGUAGUUUAAAGGAGUAGUUGUCACAGAAUCACCAAAUGGUUGAAGUUGGAAGGGACCUCUCAAAGUCAUCUGCUCCAGUUCUCUUGUUCAAGAAGAACCAUCUACAACAGAUUGACUAGGACCAUGUCCAGUUGGCUUUUGAAUCUCUCCAAGGAUGGAGACUGCACACACUCUCUUUCCAUUAAGUCAUAUUUAAGGGCUAUUAUUUAAAAGACAGAUUCAGUGUGAGGGAAGGAGGAGGGAAGGGGGCCCUCAUCCUUUCAUCCACACACUGGCAGCUUUGCACCCUGCACCAGCAAGGAUUGCUGCCCAACAGUAGCCUAGCAGGCAGUCAGCAAGAAGUCACUAGAGAGAGUAAGGAACUCGUUACAGAGGCUGCGGCUAUGCUAGCAAUUAGCACGCUGCAUGAGGAGAGGAGCAGAUGGCGCUGAGGACUGAUGUUCACGCUAUGUACAUUGUGGGGUUUUACUGCAGACUAAUGCUCAUCUUUAUACCAGGUAGCUGAAUGUUCACUAGGGGCUAGAGAGCAUUGAGUGAACUGUUAGACAUGUCUUCCAAUUUUAUUUCGAGGUAAAAAAAAUAAAAAAAAAUCCAGUUCAAAAUCUCCAUGAUCUAAACUGAAAUCUGGCAAGUGGGAAUGAUUUGUAGGUUUGCUUCUAAAGCUUAGGCUUGAAGUGAGCUAAAACAGUAACAUAGAGGCACUCACCACCCACAGAGGGCAAGGUCUCUUUUGAAAGUGUUAAUGGUGGGAUACAAGGGUAUACAAGAGUAGCCACAGACAUUGCCUAAGUUUUGCCUUCUGCAGAUGAUUACCUUUGUGGUGGUUUUUUUUUUGUUUGUUUGUUUGUUUGUUUUGUUUUUUUAAAUUAUUUUUAUUGUUGUUGUUUCUAAGAGGUUCUGAUAGUCAGAAAGAGCAGAGGUCAAAAUGCUGGUUGCUUGGAAGCAAUGUUCCUUGGAGUCUGACUGCAGUAAAUUAUAACUUUGACACCAUUGUAGAGCAAGGAAUUCUUAAACAGGCUGUAAAAAUAGACUCAAUGAGUUAGUAAAACAAGCAUGAAUUGAGGCCAUGCUGUUGGUAGCACAUGCCUUCAGAUUCGCCACUGUGGUGCACAGGACUUCAAGCAUCCCACUGGCAGGUAACUGCCACACACUGUGCAUUGUAUAGAACUGAAGCAGAAGGAAAAGGAGACAGGCACACCCUUUGUGACUUUCAUCUCUUAAAAAAUAUUUUUUCUCACUCUUGGGAAUAAAAGCUCAGAAGUCUGAGGUUUGGGUCUCAUUGUUGCAGGGUUGCAGGCUUAUUAUUAUUUUUUUUUUUAAGAACAUGUAAAUAGUUUUAUAUGUGUAUACUGUAUAGUAUAUAUCCUUUCUAUAACAUGUAGGCUCUAUAUAUUCUUAGACAGGGAGACAAACAGACAGAUAGAUACCAAUAUACUAUAGAAAGGAUUGGUUCAUUGUAAAGUCAUUAAUAGAAGUCAAACUGCCUCAGCUUCCCUUUGCUGACAAAGCACUCUGAAAUUUCCUCUUCUCUCUAGCUUAGAUCCUUCAGUCGUCCACUCCGUGAUGCACAGUCAAGUAGUAGACUUCAUGUUAUUGCUGCUUGUGACUGGCUGUAACGAUUUAGGGAAGGAUCUUCCAAACAGAAUUGAACCUGGAUAUCCCGUCCUUCCAGUGCUGAAUCAAUGCUUCUGUUCUUCUGGUUGAAAAAAAAAUUAAGGUUUAGCUUUAGCCAUGAAGAGAGACCAUUAAUUGCUGUUUUAUGGAAGCUGAUCUUCAUUGCAGAGAUGAGAAUGAGACAAGGGCAACAUUUUUGCUUUUGAGAAUUCCCAGAGACUGCUCAUAGAUCAGGGAAAGCUCAACUGCCUCUGCUGCCCUGCAUUUCGUUCAGGCACUUGCUUACAGGUUAUCUGCUUCUUCGGCUCUUCCCAAGAGAACUGGUGUACCAUUCCUAAUAAUAAUCCAGCACCUUUGGCAUAAAUGAUUCCUCACAUGAGAGAAACAGAAACCGCAAAAGCAAGAGCCCGGGGGAAUAGAAGCAAGGAAGAAGAAUGAACAAUGAGGCUUGGACACAGAUUGUUAGCACUGAGGUUUGUAUUGAUUUAAUGUCUUAAAUUUUUAAUUUGUCAGUGAUUGCACUAACACGUGAGCUAAAAGAGGAGGAAGGAGGCAAACUGAGAAAGCAAGAGAAGCAGGAAGGAUGGGGCAGCAAAGGGAAAGCUGUGUCUGUGGGUCUGUGAGAGCCUUCCUCUUGCUGCCACAGGGCGAGGGUGUCAGCCACAGCAUUUAGGAGAGUGCAGGAACAAUGUCAAAGGUUGACACAACUUGAAGAGUCAGGCUUUUCAUGUUUGUUUCUGGUUGCUUUUUGUUGUUAGUGUGGGCUUUUUUUGCAAGCGGUUUUACACUAUUACAAGACACGCCGGGAAUAUGCUUACUCAAGAGUUGCCACUGCAGUAUUUUAACUUGCAGGAAAAAAGCAGUUUCUUGAUUGUUGAAUCCUAUGGUACAGCAAAUUGACUAAAAAAUAAUUAAUUAAAUAUGUAUUUCACUAUUCACGUGGCAAGCUACCAUUUAAAAAUAGUUAUUGAAGCUAUCUGUCUUUAAUCUUUAAGACUUCUGAGUGUACUGGCUGUCUUGUGAUGCUGAGUGGCCUUUUCCUGGUGCUGAGUCCCUCACAGAGCAUGGCACAUCUCGCUGACUUCAUGGAUGUCUUAUGUCAGGGCAGGCCUCUUCUGUGGAGUGGUAUGAAUAUUGCCCUGGGCAGCAGAAUUGAAAAGAUAGUCUACUUAGCGGUGAGGAUCUAUUACUCUAUGUAGCACUUGUAUCAUGGAAUAAAAUAAAAUCUAAAUCAAGUCUAUUCCUGCCUACUUUUAGAUACUUUGCAGCGCUAAUGGAUGCUGAUUACUAGCUGUGGCUUUGUUAGCCUGGGCUAGACAUCAUCCACAGGCUUGGUUUUGUGCUCUGGAAUCACAGAAUCAUAGCAUGGUUUGAGUUGGAAGGGACCCUUAAAGAUCAUCUAGUCCAACUCCCGUGCAGUAAACAGGGGUACCUACAGCUCAAUUAGAGUUAUCAGAGCCCCAUCCAGCCUCACCUUGAAUGUCUCCAGGGACAGUGGAAAACAAGAUGAAUUUCAUCAUUGCUUUUAAUGAGCAAUAGGCAAAUCAAUGAGAAAUGAAAGUGCAUGAUCUGAAGUGCUGUGAUCAACUCAGACUGUGUUUGUAUCCCUGCUCCAGUCCAGUAGUGUGUUGCCAGAAUUGGUAUGUUAUUUCAAAACUCACCAGAGUGGCUACGUGGCCUGUUUUAGGAAGAAGUGCCUUUCUCAGGGCCUUGAGAUACUCUUAACUAAAACAAAACCAUUGCUGAAUUACAGGGCUGAUUCUCAUGCUUACAGCACUGUAUCUCAUGGUAGCAUCACUGAAGUGACAUAUAUGGAAGCAGAGGGGGAUUCAGCCCUAUGCUGCUUUAAUGUAGUUCUGCAGUUUGCUUGUCAAUCUGAUGGUACGGCAGUUUGCUUGUCAAUCUGAUGGUACGGCAGCCUGCGUGUAAGGUACUCAGUUUUCUCCAGUUCUUUCACAGAGCUGCACUAAUUAUAGUAGGAUCCUCUUGGGUGUGUAUUAGCAUUAAUUAAGGGAUUGCAACUUUCACAUGAAUAAUCUGUCUUCAGCAGACCCUGAGCAGAAUUAUCAGGUAUGUAGAAGGUAAGAAGCAAAGGAAAAAUCGGGAGAUGUGGACUUUUUUUUAUGGAGAGGGUUGCUGACCUUGUUGUUUUCUUGCCACUGUCAAGCUAAUAGAUGACAAAAGGUGAACUACAUCAACUUCGUUUUUAGUAUCAGAUUCAUAUCUUUGCUUUAAAAGCUGUCAAUCCUAGAAAUAGUCAAUUAGCCCUGCUGAAAAAGUGCACUUCUGAACAGAUGUUGUUGGCAAUAAUGCUCAUCAGUUAAACCUGAUUAUUUCAUCCCUGCUGGUGUGUGGCAGCAGGGAGGAGGAGAAGGAUGUUGAAGGGUGAAGGAGAUUUUGGCAUAAGGAGGACAUGAAGAUAUGCCAAGAUGAUUUCUUCAUUAUUUCUCCUGAGUCUGUCUCCUUUCACUGUGCUUCUUCUAGUAUUAUACCUGACAGUAAAGAACUGGGAUCAUUUAGUACACCUGGCACCUAGUGGUUUCAUGGGGCUGGAAAAUCCUGCCAGUAACGCCAUGAGAAAAGGCUGCUGCCUUCUACUGUGUUGCUUGUGAGUAUCUAGGUCAUCACAUCCAUGCAGCAAAUCUUAGUGGGAUUGUUUCUAGGCAUGGAGUAAAGUGUGAUUAGUGUACUCUUGGAGAUCGCAGUAUGUGCUUGGUACAUCUGUUUAACUUGCCCAGUGGAGUCUGGGCUCAGAUUCUGCCUUGGGGAAAUUCUUUGACAUCACUGCCAGCUGGAUGCAUCACAUUUAUCUUACCCUCAACCUCAGGAAAAUUAAGAGCUUCUUGCUGGGCCAGUGGUACUGUGGUUAUGAGCAGGGCCUCUUCUCCUUUGUGUCAUCCUUGAAGGGUAUCAACCAUGUCUUGACUUCUGACCUUUCCAUUUGUGUAGCAAGCUGUGUACUUUAUGCAGUAAAAAAAAGUGAGCUGUUUUUUGUUUCACGGGGGGUGACUGUGCAUGCUUACCCUGGCUUAACUGAUGCUGACCUUGCAAAAACAGCAUCUGAAGCAUUGUUUAUACAACUCCUUUUAGGUAGCUCUUCAGCAAUGCUGCCCACGUCUUGCAGCAGGGAUGCGAUAGCCUGUUGGGUGGUUUGUAUGAGCUAUAAGACCAGGCUGACUUUGAGAUCCAACUUCAGAUUCUUUCACCAUUGAUGAUGUAAACCCUUCUAAAAUUCAGACCUUUGAAUUUCACUAAUGAUUCUGACUGAAUUUCAAGCUGGUGAAGAGCAUUUUAGGGCAUAGUGUUCGGUGCAGUGUUGACAAGACCAAGUAAAAAUCACAAUGUAGAAUCAUCAGUGGUUUUCUUAGUGGUCUUAAGUUGUGUCUGAGGAGGUUUAUAUUGGAUACUAGGAUGAAUUUAUUAAUAGAAGGAGAUGUCAAGCAUUGGAACAGGCUGCCCACUGCAGUGGUGGAGUCCUCAUCUGUAGAGAUAUUUAAGUGAUGUGGACAUAGCAGGAAAGGACAUGAUUUAGAAAUGGGACUCAGUAGGUCAGGUUGAUGGCUGAACUUGAUGAUCUUGAAAGUCUUUUCCAACCUGGAUAAUUCUAUGAUUCUGUUCUAUGAAUAAUGACUCGUUGGGAACCCACUGGAAAACCAUACUUCAGUCUGCCCAUGUUACAUCUUAAAUUAGUAUCAAAUUGUGCUUUUACCAAGUGCUGAUAACAUGUAAGAACGGCCAUUUCUUUUGGCUGUAUCACUCCUCCCACAUCAAGAAGCUCUCCAAAUGCCUCUCAUUUUAUGCAGGACUUUUUUUUCCAUUUUACAAUUUAUUACUUUAACUUAUCUCCCUUUCCUCAUCCUAUCCUUUCUGAUCCUGUCAGUUAAUUGGAUUUGUUGCCAAUAAAGGGUAUUCCAUUAUUUGAAUGUGUUCUGCUUACAGAUAGUGGCUUCAUCAAUUAAGAAGCACUUGAGUGCAUAAAGCUUGUCCAUUUUCUUAACUCUGGUCUGUGGGACUAAUUAACAUGGCUGGUUCAAGCUGCUCAGCAGCACAGGCAGAAAUGAUUUUUACUACCUCAAAUGUCAAGGCUUGUGGUGAGAAGAGGGCCAAUACCAGGUGAAGAGUUGAGAUGGAGGGAUCUACAGAUCUGGUACCCUCAUGGAGCCUGGAGGGCUGGAGGCAGCAGCUCCAUUGGCACAUGAUUCCUGCUCCCUUGCUUGGAAGUAUUUUAUCUGUUUGCCCAUUGUAUCCUCUGAAGCAGUGGCACUCUGCUGUGCUAGGGCUAUGGUACCAGGGAGAUCAGCAGUAGGACCCAGGCCGUUUCACUGCCGCGAGCAGCGUGUUGCCCUAGGACACUGUCCACUUUACCUUGGUUUGUUGUCUAUGAAAAGAAAAUAAUACUCCUUGCAAGCCUUCCCUGUGUUGUAUCUCAGCUACAAGAGCAAAUGUGUAGCUGAGAUGCUACAGAAAAGACACUGUAGAGAGCAGUUGUCAAACACAAUUGAUCUAACUGAAAAGCAAGACAAUUAUGAUUGAUACUUUAGGAUCAUUUGAGGCAAAUUCUUUAGGUAGGUGGUUAUGCCAAAGAGCUGGUUGUUCUAUCAAUGCUCUGUGCCUUGGAUAUAUGCUGAGGACAGAAGGUUAAUAUUCUGGGCAUAGUAUAAAUCAUAAAACAAGACAAUUCAUUAUUUUCUUGGCUUUGGAGAGAUUUUUGUCUCUGGUAAAAAGAAAAGAGGAGUGUGUGUGUGAGGGGGUGUAUUACAUGUGCUGGAUGGCAUGCAUUCAGUGUUGUAAUGAUGGUUAACAAUUCCUUGGCAUUAGAAAACAGCCUGAGGGAUGCCAUGUUCAACUUCUUACUGAACUGCAGCUUCCACAUGAAUGGAGUGACUGUGUCUUGACUACAUUAUUGAUUUUCUCUGGAUUACUUCACUGAGGCAAGUGAGCAAACUUAGCUGUUUUAUUAGAUGCUCAGCAGCAGGCAGUUCACAAAAUACCACUUUCUGAAGUAGUUUGUUUAUCUUAGAAAUUUCUAAUAUGCAUUGAAACGCAGAAGAAGAGAUGGCAGUACAUGCUAAACCACUCAAAUCAUGAACCCUGGGCCCUGGACGAAUGUCACAGGCCUCUGGAGCGGCAUCUGGGGAGAGUUAGACUUAAUCAGUUCUUCCCAGUACUGGCACAGCUAACUGAUUCGAGUGACACAGUGAUAAAAAUGCUCUCAGCUUUUAGCAGCGGAACGUUCAUCCUAGCUUGAUAUCCUGGCAUUUAUAUAGCACACUGAAGAAGUUCAUCAAAUUUUUAACCACAGAGCUUUUAGAAGCAGGUGAAAGAUGCUCUGCACUUGGAAAACUGUCUUCAUGUCACUGACAUUUUAGUCUCAUCUAACACACCUAGAUCUGAAGAAACCCAAAAGAGGCCCAGAACAAGGAGGUGAAAUCCAAGUGAAUCUUCAUUUGCAAACACAUCUUGUGCUUGUAAUGGUAUGUUACUGUUGAUCCUUCUCAUGGUGUUUGGGAAAUAUGCCUACUAUGACGCUUCGUGUUCUACUUUGUUUUUCAAAGGGCUGAAUACAGUAAUGUUUUAGAGCUUUUUUUUUUUUUUUCCUUCAUUUCUCUCUUCUUUAGGCAGUGUGAACAAAAGUGAGAGACAAAAAAGCUCGAUCUGCUGUAAACUGUGAACUGCAAACUGAGGGGGCUGUGGGGAUGGCUGUUGGCAGCGUGUUAUAAAUGUCGUCUCUGGGCUGGAGCUCUUCCAGGAGUGAGGAUGCUGUUUGUGCCAUGCUGCCGUUAGCCAGUACCCGUCAGUGUUGUGUGCUAAAAAAAACCACAUGGCAUCAUAAAUGGGGUUCAGGACACAAGAAUUAGUAAGGAGAGCUACGGUAUUUAAAGGCAAUCAUUUUAUCUGGGUCUUGUUCCCAUUUACUUCAGUUUUUACUUUAAAAAAAAAAAAAAGAUGCACUUGGCCUACUUAAAUGCAGAUACCAAAGUGAAGUGCUCGAAUAUAGGGCCUCACAUUAACCACACGUGUUAACAAACGUGCAGUCCCUUACUUCUGUACAUUAUCUUCGGUCUGGUGCCUGGCCACCAUAUAAAUCUCCCCAGAAUGGUACUACAGCACCAGUGAGACAACAGACAUUGUGAAAGGCUGAGGAAAACAGAAGAGAACUUCCUCAUGUUACGAAACCUGCUAUUUACAAUGUGUGUAUAUUAUGCCUUCAUCGUUGCUGUCGAAUCUGUUCAUUGAGGAGAAAAAAAGAGUAUUAAUGACAAAUACAUUUCUCUUACAAAUACAUAACCUCCUCAGGUUAUACUUUGGCCAGGUCUUCAGUGGUUUCAUUUAAAUUCCCUUCCAGCCCAAGCCAUUCUAUGAUUCUAUGAAAUUAUUAGUAGAUCAGAAAUUAGAUGAGCAAGAGAAUGGGACCCAUAACUGUGGGAUGAAGCUGGCACAUCCUCAUAAAUUUCCCAGUACUACUUUUUUUCACUUGAAAGUGCUGAUCUGUUAAAAAAUGUGAAGUGUCCCCCAAAUGCAGUGUAACUGCAUUCAAUUGAAUCACUUCUGGAGAGUGCCAGCAAAUUUUAAAAAAUCCAUUUGAAAGUUCCUCUUACCGAAUAAUUUUGUUUUCUUGUUUGAAAUAAUUUUCCUUUCAACACUAGGAUUUUUUCUUAAAGAGCGAGAUGUAAGGUAUUCCAAACCAAAUGAAGAACUUCUGCUGUUGUUGAAAUGAGAAGAAAAUUUUGAUCAAACUAAAAGGAAUUUAUUUUUAUUUGAUGGGAAAUUUAGUAAUGAUCUGGGGGUUUGCCCAGAUAUAAACAAUAUCCCAACUGGUCUCCUAUAAGAAUCUUAAGACUACUUGUUUCCUCACAAGAAAAGGAGCCUGUUCUCCCUCAACUUGGAAACAGCAAAGUCAUUGACAAAAUCAACUUGAUCUUGGUGGAGAUCAACGAUGAAAUGCUUGCAUGGGGAACCCAUGUCAAGGAGCACCGAGCACCAAGCAUCAUUCAGUCACAGAAGUUGGAGAUUCCUGCUGGGAACAAGGGAAGGAAAACUUGACACCUCCAGAAGGAGAUUAGAGUAAUUCUGAACUGAGUGUAGCCUGUGCCCUGCAAGCAUCAGGGUAGAGGUGAGGGAUGCAGCUACAUCCACUGCAUCAUCCCAUCUGAGCUCUCUUAACACCAACCAGACAUUUCCCAUCGGAUUGCCAGCCACUGGAACCAAUGCCUCCCCCCCUUUUUUUUUCUUUUUUUCUUUUUUUUUCCCACUCUCCAAUCAGAUUUUACACCAAUGAUGGCAAUUUUAAAAAUAAAUAAAUAAAUGAAGCAGACGAACUUUUUCAGGCUGUUCCCUCCUCGUCUGUGUGCAGAGGACUGCAGAUCUGUGUGCGAUAUAAUGAAGGCCUGGGGGAGAAUAUUAGCACUUCUGAAAAGAGCUCAGGGAAUUCUGGUUUUUGCUCUGACAACUGAAGGCAGAGGAGAGUUUUCCCUUUCAUGUUUGUUUUCAGUAUAUAAAGUGAUUGAAAGCAGUUUCCCAAAGAGGAGGGUGGGGGGGGAGAGUGAUGAAAAUUUUUAGUGUUUCUAAUCUGCUGCCUUAAUUUUGCUGCAGCUGCACUCUCACAUGAGUUUGUUAAUGCUAUGGAAGGGCAGGACUGGCCAGCAAGGAGCCAAAGACAGGGACACGUGUCUUUUGGGCUCAAGUCUGCACUGCAAGAGAGACUGCUGUCAUAGGGAUAGAAGAGGGAGAAAAGAGUGCAAAUUCACCAGCACAGACAGAAAAGGUAGUAGGAGAUUAACUGUAGCCCCUAUGGCACAUCAAAGCUCUCUAUAGCACAGAUCUCUUCUGUAAUGGCUGCACACCAACCUCAUCCUGCAUUUUUUUUUAGUUAUUUAAGUGGUAAAGCUAGAGUGUCACGUACCCUUGGAUGGAAUAGAAUCAUAGAAUGGCUUCGGUUGGAAGGGACCUCAUAGAUCAUCUAGUUCCAAUCCCCUGCUUUGGGCAAGGUUGCCAAUCACUAAAUCAGGCACAUGAUCUGGCUACACAGGGCCCCAUCCAACCUGGUCUUGAACACCUCCAGGGAUGGAGCAUCCACAACUUCUCUGGGUAAAUCACCUCUAUAAAGAGGGAGGCAAGGCAGAUUUCUGCAGCUUUGCUCGUCAGCUGGUAGUGGGAAGGCAACAAAAGCAAAAUCUUGUGGACUCUGCAGAGCCUGCCCAGACACUGUUACCAUCUAUAACAGAUAUGAUGAAUGUUAAAACAGUAUGCUAUCUUUUACCCCUUAAGAUGGCCAGCAAUGCUCGCAGUAUUUUUUGGAUAAAAUGAUGUUUUCAUUAUUGAUGUUGUUAGAAUGAAGUUAACUUGAGCCUGCACUCUGGCCAUGGUUGGCUGGACCCUCCCUCCCUGUGCCCCACAGCCCUGAGUGUGUUGUUGGCAUUCACUGCAAGAAAAUGAGAUCCUGGUCUGGGCACUGGCUAACUCCAGGCUUCACCAAAUCCUAAUCCAAACAACUCUCUUCAGCCAGGACAUGAAACGCUUUGAGAAGUCCCUCAAGAAACUUUUGGAUUAAUCUAGGACCUAAACCAAAUGCCCUCUGGUGACUACGAACCAUGCCUUGAGACUUAGUUGGGUGUGCAUGGGGUUGUCUGCCCAGUCCAGCUGCAGAGAGGAGCUCAAUUUCCAGGAUUACCCAUCCGACACCAUCCUCAACAUAAAAAAAUUAAGACAAGGUUGCCUGGAGACCAGAGCCAUGUACCUCCUGCUCGCUUUGAGCUCUGAAUUGAUCCACUCACUUUCCUUGGUGCUGAUCUGCACGGUUGCAGCCUCAGAGCUGCCGUAGGAAAUCCAUCCUGCAAACCUGGAGCAGAGAGUUCUGUCCUGCACUCUGCCUCCUGCUUCAUCACGCUCUCAAGGCAGAGUGCCUGGGCCUGUGUGCAAUAACACAGAUGGAGUAUGUGCAUCUGUCUGCCUUGAAAACUUGGUGCAUAGUGCAGUGGAAAUGUGUGGUGAUGGCUGUGUUUGGUAGAAGAGGGGAAUGGACUCACAGUUCACCUUUCACAUCAGGGUACUUGUUGAAUAUUAAUUCAGAAGCAAAAUUGUAGCAUAGUGAAAUGCCUCACUGCCUCUACUUCAUUCUUAAUGAAAAAGGAGGAAAGACCAGGCGUGUUGACAUAUAUAUGGCACAGAGAGGACUAACAGCAGCCAGUUAAUAAUCUUUGUCUCCCUCGCUGCUGGUACAGGUUUAGAACAAAUGUACAAAAAAUGUCCCAGGCACGUGUGCUCACAGAUGCCUAUGCAUUCAGGCAUGGUUUAGCAUGAAGAAUCACAUAAAUUAGCAGGAUUAUAAUUACUCCUUUUAAUCCUUUGGCUCUUAACAAACAAGCUUUAAUCAGCAGACGGGAAGCCCAUUUAGAACUUGAAACGUAAUCCAAGGUCAGGAGGUACGGGUCACCGCCCUCAACUGUGGACCAAACAACCAGGUGUGAGCAAGGGCUGUAGCAACAAGGGCACCUCAGCCCUGGGGAGAUGGGGACUUGGCCUGGAGAAGUCGUGGGGCUGUGGGGACACAUCAGUGCCAUGCUCCUAAGGAGAAGAGGAGCGGGAAGAGGGCAGGAAGCUAAUAAGAGCAGUUCCCUUCUCCAGGGAUAAUUGCAGAGGGGUUAGAGGUAAUUAGUUUAUACGGGAGCAGAGGUUAAUAGGGUUCUUGUUUGGGUUUUUCUCUUCUUUUGAUGGAGCGUGUCAGUUGUUUAAAGCUAACAAGCUGAUGAGGUAAAAAGCAAAUUAAGUAUGUGAUCCAGAUGUUGCCAAAAGUUGAGGCAGAAGUGUUAAAAGGAGAAGUUUUCAGAGUUAGGUACAGGAAAAAAAAAAAAAAAGAAUAUGAAAGUAAGGUUUGUAUAUUAAAGCUAACCAAAUGAAAGCGAACCAACGCAUGCCUUGCAUUAUUUGUGUUAUUUAUUAAACUACUGGACGAAAACAUUGCAAAAAUGAACAGUGUAGUUAUUAAGAACAGCCAUUCUGCUGCCCUAGUGCAUAAUUCCUACUGACUUAUUCCGAAGUGCUGCCAUAAGGCUUCCUGCCAUUGAGUUCCUCUUCAAUAAACAGGAGGAGGCUGAGAGUGCAGCAGUUUAUUCCAUGAACCAUACAGUCACUUAUUCUAUCCAGGCAGAGUAAUCCACUCCCUGAUGUCCCCAGACUCCUUCACAUACCUUGCAGCUGUGUUUCUGCUUGAGCAAGAACUUUCCAAAAUACCGGGCAAGUGCUCAAAGCCCUCAUCAUCUGCAUGGCACCAUGGGGUUAUGAAAAGAGGCCAACAUUUCCUAAUGAUUACGAUGCUGUGCUCAUAUAAAAAUCAGUAGAAAAAGUUAAAACAUCCAUAAUAAACUAUUUCAGCAGCUCUGUCUUGCUGAAUCGUGCACGUGACCCCAGAUCCCAGUGUCACCAACUUUUCACAGAAUAUUCUUUUAAGAUCUGUUCUUCCUAUUUAUCCUUUUAUCUCUAUUUAUUUUUAUAUUUAUUGACUCCUGUUUUCCACUCCUUCAGCCAACACCUGUUUAAACUGGAAAUAGGUGUGAAGAUGACCAGCUUUUAAGACCUUCUCCUCACAGACUUACCCAUAAGGUCUCUGCUUAGAAGCACUAGUUUACCUUUCAGUGCUAAUGUUAUCAUGUGAAUUUAGAAGGGAAGUAUCCACGUUAGAAAAUGUUUAAUGGAAAAACAGCUUCCAAACUAUCUGGCUUGUUUUUAUAGAUGUACCUAGCAUCCUUCCUAAGGGUUUGAACCAGUUCCAAGAGUAGAAAUUACCCUAAUGAAAUGUGUUUUGUAGCCCUGCCACUAGUUGAAGAACUGCACCCCAAGUGUUGAAACACCCCCAGCUGGCCAGGCAAGAAUGGCAUGAAGGUGUUCUUUCCUGUGUAUUGUCAGGUUCUGAGUUAUUCAAGGAUGCCCUGCUGGAGCUUGAAAAAUGAAGGGGAGAGUGGCAAUACAAAGGAACCAAAGUUACUGAAAGAUAGUUAUAGUCAUACAAAGGCACUGAGAACUGACAACAACACUGUUGGGAAGCUUGCUAGAAAAAUAAUUCUUUUCUAAGCUACACAUACUGUUGGGUGCUUCUAGUUCCAAAAUAUUUUGUAGACAAGCUAGUUGGAUGAUUUACAUGAUUCAUUAAGUUGGAGUUCAGCAUGAUCUGCUGCCACUUCUGCUUCUGCCUGGAAUAUAAUUUCAAAAUACCUCAACCCCCUACAAAAAGCAAACACAAGAACAUUAGCAAAUAGAAGGUUAUUAGCAGAUCCAUGUAGUCGCUUCUGCUAUAGUCACUCUGCAACUGUCUUUUGCCCCAUGUUCAUGGGGGAACAAUCUGGCAGAUAUACUCCAGAACAGAAGUAGCUGUGAGUUCAAAUAUCUAGACAUGGGAUAUCCCUUGAAAAUCUGGGAGGAGUGCAUUUGUCAUGAAGUAUAGAGGAGAAAAGAUGCAGAUACAAUGGAUAAUUUGUUGCCCCCAACCUCUUAGUUUGUGUGAAUUACAAAGAAAUUUCUGAUUGCAAAAGAGCAGCAACUCAGAAAAGGAAGAGGCCAAAUGUACUACAAAAAGCAUUGCAUUGCACUGGCAAAAAUGAAAGUGUGUUUAGUACAUGUUUAUGGAGCUUGUCUUGGAUGCUCUAAAAAUAACCUUGCUGGAGCAAGUCUCUGAGUCCCUGCAGGAAACCCUACACAUUCCUCACAUAGAACAGCAGCUUAAUCCCAGUUUUCACAACAAAAAGAAGAAUUAUUUUUAGUGCUUUUAAAAAUAGACUUCAGUUGCCUAGUGCCUAGUUGUCAAAUUAAGAUGUGGAAGGUGUGUCACUUCUUGGGAGUAUGGCACAAGUUGCCAAAUGCUGGAUGACCAGAACACCUAACCAGAAAUAAUGUGGUGGUUCAGAUGUGCUAAGAGGUGUUAUGAUAAAGACUCCAGGUCAGGCUUGCUGGAAAAGGAUAAGACCAAAUUAAAGGGCCUAAGGAACAUCCUGACAGUGAUGAAGGGUAAGACAGAGGAAUGGGAGCAGUGUUGAGCAGGACCUUCUUGUGGCUGAGACUCCAGGCUGUGAUCUUCUACAGGACAAGAGAAUUGGAAGUUCAGGGGGCAUCUUACCAAUGUCUAUAAAUACCUGAAGGGGAGAGUGCAAAGAUGAUAGUGCAAGGCUCUUUUCAGUAAUGUGCAGUGCCAGGACAAGAGGCAAUGGCACAAACUGAGCACAGGAGGUUCCCUUUGAACGCCAGGCAGCACUUCUGUGCUGUGCAAGUGACAGAGCACCAGCACAGGCUGCCCAGAGGCUGGGCAGUCUGCUCCUUGGAGAUCUCCAAGAGCCACCUGGCCAUGGGCCUGGCACCCUACCCUGGGUGUGCUGCUGGGGCAGAGGCUGGGCAUGAUGGACACAGAGGUGCCUGCCAGCAUCAGCCAUCCUAUGAGUCUUCAAAGGCAAAUGUUGCACACCAGUUGAAAAGUUAAAAGGAACACAGAAGGCUCUAGUUAGGCCAUAAGAGAAGCACAGUUAAAACCUAGUCUCAGUGAAAUCAAAAGUCAAUUUCAGGAACUUAAAUUAUGCACAGUUCUGCCAUCUGGACUGUGACUAACAGUGUUCUCUUGUGGUUUGUAGAUGGGUCUUGGAGCCUGUAGGUUUUGUAGGCAUUCUUCUUUUAAACUCUGUAGAUAUCCCAUCAUUUCCUUCUAUUUGCCAGAUGUUGAGCAGAACUGAGGAUGCUGAUGUUCCUACAAGGAAGUAAGGAGCACUGUAAUGCAUUGGCACAGGCUGCCCAGAGAGGUGGUGGAGUCACUAUCCCUGGUGGCGUUCAAGAGCUGUGUAGAUGUGGCACUGAGGGAUGUGGUUAGUGGGCAUGGUGUUAUGGUUUGGAGGUUGGACUAGACGAUCUUAGAGGUCUUUUUCAACCUUAAUGAUUCUGAUUCUGUGAAAACUUGGGUCAGAGUGGACCUGUGCAGAAUGCCUGACAGAUAUAAACUAGUUCCUCUGCAGAGACCCAUCACAAAAGAUCAGUGUUUGACUUUCAGAAGUCAGUAGCCCAGCAGAGAACAGCCUUAGGGCAUGCUCCUCCCCUGCUCCUCCCCUGGAGGCUUAUUGCUUUUUAUACUCUACUUCAACUGUCUCACUCAGAUUCCUAGUGCAGGCUGAUUAUAUGGCCACUCUGUGGGCAGUGGGAAACACAGCAUUUCCAGAGGCUGACUCACCUGUGUGAGAUGUCAAAAAGCCAUAUGCAAGCUGCUGAGAGCUUGGGGAAAGAAAAGGGACAGCAAGAUCUUCCUAAGCUGGCUUUGAUGAGACAGAAAAUAUGGCGUAUACUGCAAUGACAGUUCAACUCAUAUUUAGGUGAUCUUAUCAUAUACUUGUGGUUAGUUUUUACUGAAUGUAAGUGUCUAUAAAUGCUCUUUAGACAGCUACCUUACUAACAUGUACUCCCUACACACCAUUUACUGAUCUGCUCCAAAGAGUGCAGGUGGAAGAUUUCUCUUUGGCCAACAUGACUUGAAACUGAUGGGUGAGUACUCAUCUGUCAAACGAAGCUGGGAGAGAGAUGAGAUGCUUAUCUCUUACAGACAAAACACCUGGCUGUCUGGGUUUGUGAAUGCUAAUAUUGCAAGCUAAAAAAAAAAGAAAAAAGAAAAAGAAAAAGAAAAAGAAA